Brachypodium distachyon (stiff brome) is the source of this 138-nucleotide non-coding RNA. Lineage: Eukaryota; Viridiplantae; Streptophyta; Magnoliopsida; Poales; Poaceae. The record is from Rfam.
UUAUUACUCCCUGUGAUCCAAAUUAAUUGUCGCAGAUUUGUCUAGAUACGCAUGUACCUACACACUAAAACGCGUCUAGAUACGCAUGUGUAUCUAGACAAAGUUGUGACAAUUAAUUUGGGUUGGAGGGAGUAGUAC